GCCAGUGUGGCGAAAUGGCAGACGCACGAGACUUAAAAUCUCGGGACUUUAAAAAGUCGUGCGGGUUCGAGUCCCGCCACUGGCACCA
This 88-nucleotide transfer RNA is filed under the name Verrucomicrobiota bacterium. RNAcentral's name for it is "Verrucomicrobia bacterium (marine sediment metagenome) tRNA-Leu". It matches the Rfam family "tRNA". From Rfam's summary of the family: Transfer RNA (tRNA) molecules are approximately 80 nucleotides in length. Their secondary structure includes four short double-helical elements and three loops (D, anti-codon, and T loops). Lineage: Bacteria; Pseudomonadati; Verrucomicrobiota. The record is from RNAcentral.